GUACACUCCUGCGGGAGGCAGCAGUGGGGAAUUUUGGACAAUGGGCGAAAGCCUGAUCCAGCAAUGCCGCGUGUGUGAAGAAGGCCUUCGGGUUGUAAAGCACUUUUGUCCGGAAAGAAAUCCUUGGCUCUAAUACAGUCGGGGGAUGACGGUACCGGAAGAAUAAGCACCGGCUAACUACGUGCCAGCAGCCGCGGUAAUACGUAGGGUGCGAGCGUUAAUCGGAAUUACUGGGCGUAAAGCGUGCGCAGGCGGUUUGCUAAGACCGAUGUGAAAUCCCCGGGCUCAACCUGGGAACUGCAUUGGUGACUGGCAGGCUAGAGUAUGGCAGAGGGGGGUAGAAUUCCACGUGUAGCAGUGAAAUGCGUAGAGAUGUGGAGGAAUACCGAUGGCGAAGGCAGCCCCCUGGGCCAAUACUGACGCUCAUGCACGAAAGCGUGGGGAGCAAACAGGAUUAGAUACCCCAGUAGUCCC
RNAcentral lists this ribosomal RNA (474 nucleotides) under uncultured organism. RNAcentral describes it as "partial 16S ribosomal RNA". It matches the Rfam family "Bacterial small subunit ribosomal RNA", at positions 331 to 797 of the family's 1533-position model. The record is from RNAcentral.